AUCACUUCUUGGCCUUUUGGCUAAGAUCAAGUGGAGUAUCAAGUAUAUUAUCUAAUAUGGCAAACUUUUAAUAGCAUUCUUAGGUAAAACAUAU
RNAcentral lists this small nuclear RNA (94 nucleotides) under Zalophus californianus (California sea lion). RNAcentral describes it as "U2 spliceosomal RNA (ENSZCAG00015006077.1)". It matches the Rfam family "U2 spliceosomal RNA". Rfam says of the family: U2 is a small nuclear RNA (snRNA) component of the spliceosome (involved in pre-mRNA splicing). Complementary binding between U2 snRNA (in an area lying towards the 5' end but 3' to hairpin I) and the branchpoint sequence (BPS) of the intron results the bulging out of an unpaired adenosine, on the BPS, which initiates a nucleophilic attack at the intronic 5' splice site, thus starting the first of two transesterification reactions that mediate splicing. RNAcentral also lists the same sequence under 1 other name. The record is from RNAcentral. Lineage: Eukaryota; Metazoa; Chordata; Mammalia; Carnivora; Otariidae.